AGUGAACGCUGGCGGUAGGCCUAACACAUGCAAGUCGAACGGCAGCACAGUAAGAGCUUGCUCUUACGGGUGGCGAGUGGCGGACGGGUGAGGAAUACAUCGGAAUCUACUUUUUCGUGGGGGAUAACGUAGGUAAACUUACGCUAAUAUCGCAUACGACCUACGGGUGAAAGCAGUGGAUCUUCGGACCUUUCGCGAUUGAAUGAGCCGCUGUCGGAUUAGCUAGUUGGCGGGGUAAAGGCCCACCAAGGCGACGAUCCGUAGCUGGUCUGAGAGGAUGAUCGGCCACAUUGGAACUGGGACACGGACAAGACUACUGAGGGAGGGAGCAGUGGGGAAUAGUAGGCAAAGGGCGCAAGCCUGAUCCAGCCAGACCGCGUGGGAGAAGAAGGCGUUCGGGUUGGAAAGACCUUUUGUUGGGAAAGAGAAGCAGCAGGUUAAUACCCCGCUGUUCUGACGGUACCCAAAGAAUAAGCACCGGCUAACUUCGUG
Molecule: ribosomal RNA, 492 nt
Filed under: uncultured bacterium
Lineage: Bacteria
Description: partial 16S ribosomal RNA
Rfam family: Bacterial small subunit ribosomal RNA
Source: RNAcentral